GAUGAACGCUGGCGGCGUGCCUAAUACAUGCAAGUCGAGCGAACAGACGAGGAGCUUGCUCCUCUGACGUUAGCGGCGGACGGGUGAGUAACACGUGGAUAACCUACCUAUAAGACUGGGAUAACUUCGGGAAACCGGAGCUAAUACCGGAUAAUAUAUUGAACCGCAUGGUUCAAUAGUGAAAGACGGUUUUGCUGUCACUUAUAGAUGGAUCCGCGCCACAUUAGCUAGUUGGUAAGGUAACGGCUUACCAAGGCAACGAUGCGUAGCCGACCUGAGAGGGUGAUCGGCCACACUGGAACUGAGACACGGUCCAGACUCCUACGGGAGGCAGCAGUAGGGAAUCUUCCACAAUGGGCGAAAGCCUGACGGAGCAACGCCGCGUGAGUGAUGAAGGUCUUCGGAUCGUAAAACUCUGUUAUUAGGGAAGAACAAAUGUGUAAGUAACUAUGCACGUCUUGACGGUACCUAAUCAGAAAGCCACGGCUAACUACGUG
This 497-nucleotide ribosomal RNA is filed under the name uncultured bacterium. Its description in RNAcentral is "partial 16S ribosomal RNA". It matches the Rfam family "Bacterial small subunit ribosomal RNA", at positions 28 to 507 of the family's 1533-position model. The record is from RNAcentral.